UAGUCUUUGGCUUCCAUAUCCUUCCU
This 26-nucleotide non-coding RNA is filed under the name Mus musculus (house mouse). Lineage: Eukaryota; Metazoa; Chordata; Mammalia; Rodentia; Muridae. The record is from RNAcentral. RNAcentral also lists the same sequence under 1 other name.